Molecule: ribosomal RNA, 621 nt
Filed under: uncultured bacterium
Lineage: Bacteria
Description: bacterial SSU rRNA
Rfam family: Bacterial small subunit ribosomal RNA
Source: RNAcentral
CCUACGGGAGGCAGCAGUGGGGAAUUUUGGACAAUGGGCGAAAGCCUGAUCCAGCAAUGCCGCGUGAGUGAAGAAGGCCUUCGGGUUGUAAAGCUCUUUUGUCAGGGAAGAAACGGUGAGAGCUAAUAUCUCUUGCUAAUGACGGUACCUGAAGAAUAAGCACCGGCUAACUACGUGCCAGCAGCCGCGGUAAUACGUAGGGUGCAAGCGUUAAUCGGAAUUACUGGGCGUAAAGCGUGCGCAGGCGGUUUUGUAAGUCUGAUGUGAAAUCCCCGGGCUCAACCUGGGAAUUGCAUUGGAGACUGCAAGGCUAGAAUCUGGCAGAGGGGGGUAGAAUUCCACGUGUAGCAGUGAAAUGCGUAGAUAUGUGGAGGAACACCGAUGGCGAAGGCAGCCCCCUGGGUCAAGAUUGACGCUCAUGCACGAAAGCGUGGGGAGCAAACAGGAUUAGAUACCCUGGUAGUCCACGCCCUAAACGAUGUCUACUAGUUGUCGGGUCUUAAUUGACUUGGUAACGCAGCUAACGCGUGAAGUAGACCGCCUGGGGAGUACGGUCGCAAGAUUAAAACUCAAAUGAAAUUGACCGGNUAGAGAGNGCGAGGACGACGACGAGGGAGGAGG